This 546-nucleotide ribosomal RNA is filed under the name uncultured Ascomycota. RNAcentral describes it as "SSU rRNA". It matches the Rfam family "Eukaryotic small subunit ribosomal RNA", at positions 548 to 1098 of the family's 1831-position model. Lineage: Eukaryota; Fungi; Ascomycota. The record is from RNAcentral.
UUGGAGGGCAAGUCUGGUGCCAGCAGCCGCGGUAAUUCCAGCUCCAAUAGCGUAUAUUAAAGUUGUUGCAGUUAAAAAGCUCGUAGUUGAACCUUGGGCCUGGCUGGCCGGUCCGCCUCACCGCGUGUACUGGUCCGGCCGGGCCUUUCCUUCUGGGGAACCUCAUGCCCUUCACUGGGCGUGUUGGGGAACCAGGACUUUUACUUUGAAAAAAUUAGAGUGUUCAAAGCAGGCCUUUGCUCGAAUACAUUAGCAUGGAAUAAUAGAAUAGGACGUGUGGUUCUAUUUUGUUGGUUUCUAGGACCGCCGUAAUGAUUAAUAGGGAUAGUCGGGGGCAUCAGUAUUCAAUCGUCAGAGGUGAAAUUCUUGGAUUGAUUGAAGACUAACUACUGCGAAAGCAUUUGCCAAGGAUGUUUUCAUUAAUCAGUGAACGAAAGUUAGGGGAUCGAAGACGAUCAGAUACCGUCGUAGUCUUAACCAUAAACUAUGCCGACUAGGGAUCGGACGGUGUUAGUAUUUCGACCCGUUCGGCGCCUUACGGGAAAC